Molecule: ribosomal RNA, 427 nt
Filed under: uncultured bacterium
Lineage: Bacteria
Description: partial 16S ribosomal RNA
Rfam family: Bacterial small subunit ribosomal RNA
Source: RNAcentral
UGGGGAAUAUUGCACAAUGGGCGCAAGCCUGAUGCAGCCAUGCCGCGUGUAUGAAGAAGGCCUUCGGGUUGUAAAGUACUUUCAGCGGGGAGGAAGGUGUUGUGGUUAAUAACCGCAGCAAUUGACGUUACCCGCAGAAGAAGCACCGGCUAACUCCGUGCCAGCAGCCGCGGUAAUACGGAGGGUGCAAGCGUUAAUCGGAAUUACUGGGCGUAAAGCGCACGCAGGCGGUCUGUCAAUUCGGAUGUGAGAUCCCCGUGCUCAACCUGGGAGCUGCAUUCGAAACUGUCAGGCUAGAGUCUUGUAGAGGGGGGUAGAAUUCCAGGUGUAGCGGUGAAAUGCGUAGAGAUCUGGAGGAAUACCGGGGGCGAAGGCGGCCCCCUGGACAAAGACUGACGCUCAGGUGCGAAAGCGUGGGGAGCAAACA